This 57-nucleotide transfer RNA is filed under the name Onchocerca volvulus. RNAcentral describes it as "tRNA OVOC13534". Lineage: Eukaryota; Metazoa; Nematoda; Chromadorea; Rhabditida; Onchocercidae. The record is from RNAcentral.
GCUGAAAUAGUUUAAGUUUUAAAAUGAGAUGUUAGGGGCGUUUGGAUUUUUUCAGUU